AGAAAUGAUAUCCAGAUGUUUUCUUAGAUGGAUAUGGAAACACUUUAUGAAGACAGAUCUGAGGAUUUGGUGAGAAGUUGUCCACACCAUGGAUUACCUAAAUGGUUGUUGAUUCAGAGUUUCUACAAUGGGUUGAAUGGUUACACUAGAAGCAAGGUAGAGUCCGCAGCAGGAGGAUUUCUAUUGGAGAAAUCAAUUAAUGAGGGUUAUAAGCUGUUGGAAGAGUUUACAGGUAAUUGUUAUGAAUGGCUUAAUGAGAGGAACA
This 265-nucleotide unclassified non-coding RNA is filed under the name Hevea brasiliensis (rubber tree). The record is from RNAcentral. Lineage: Eukaryota; Viridiplantae; Streptophyta; Magnoliopsida; Malpighiales; Euphorbiaceae.